RNAcentral lists this long non-coding RNA (865 nucleotides) under Homo sapiens (human). Its description in RNAcentral is "non-protein coding lnc-DDIAS-1:2". Lineage: Eukaryota; Metazoa; Chordata; Mammalia; Primates; Hominidae. The record is from RNAcentral.
UCUUUUUUUUUUUUUUUUAAGACAGGGUCUCUCUCUGUUGCCCGGGCUGGAGUGCAGGCUCCCACACUCAAAUGAGUCAGGCAGGAUGACAGAAGUAAGAUAACUGAAUUCAAAUUCAAAUUCCAGAUUCUUUCAACUAGGGGCUCUCAAAAGUGUGAUGCUCCAGCAUCACCUGGGAACUUGUUAGAAAUGCACCUUCCCAAGAUCCACCCCAAGACAUGUUAGAAACUCUGGGAUGGGGCUCAGCAAUCAGCAUUUUUACAAGCCCUUUUGGGUAAUUCUGAUGCACGCUUUAGACUGCCUAUCGAACUGUAGACAUCUGACGAACAAAUCCAAACCACAGUCUGACAAUGGGUCACCUCUGUUGAAAGUGAAACAGAACACAGCAGUACUGAUUUUUAAUGACUUUCCAGACCCUAGUUCUAGUUCCCCAUGAUUCCUGGUAACCCAAGUCCUGGAGCUGAUCUGGCAGUUUCAAAACAUUUCUUUUCCUUAAGCUGGUUUUGUGGGCUUUUGUUGCUUGAAUCCAAACAAAAAUAAAACUGUACCAGUAAAAUGAAGCAAACAAAAUUUGCCAAAAAGGAGCCCCAGUUCUGCCCCAGUUUUGCCAAAAAGGAGCUGUGAGGCCGUAGAUAAGUUCCUUCUCUCUAAGCUACAAUUCUAUCCCUUACAAAAUGAUGCAGUUGAACUGGAUAUCUCAGGGGCCUUCACCCUCUACUAUGCUGGCUUAGACACUGGCUCCUCUGGAUAACCUCUUGGCGCUACAGAUUCCUUAUGAAGGUUCUCCUAAGUUACUUUAGUUCUACCCAUUGACUCCAGGCAGUUAAAGUAACAAAAACAGAAAAUAAAAAGCACCCAAUUCUUU